Molecule: long non-coding RNA, 1306 nt
Organism: Eriocheir sinensis (Chinese mitten crab)
Lineage: Eukaryota; Metazoa; Arthropoda; Malacostraca; Decapoda; Varunidae
Exons: 3
Source: RefSeq, a predicted model, not a curated record
AGUGAAUAAGUGAGUCUAGCGCUUUCUUGAAGAUUGCCAGACUGUCACUUAUAACGGGGUCCAACUCGCAACGGUGCCAGAUUAUCGUACUCAGAGCCUCGUAUUUACCGGUUUCUGAGUCACAACUAUUGCCAAAAAUCACCAAUAAUUAAUCAUUUUAACGCUAACUAUAUAUGAAGGCAGUUAUUGGGGUCGAGGAUGCAGUUUUUGGGUCGGAAAUCGGCAAACUUGGGAGGCUGAGUACGACAACCUGGUAACGGUGGGUCCAAGUCACCUUUGACAUCAAGAUCAAGAACCAGCUGCAAGGUAAACAUGGCACUAUUUGAAAGGUCUUUUCACCCUAGGCGGGACGUAUUGAACAGUUUAAGUGACGCAGAACUUGUUAAAAGAUACAGACUGAACAGGAAAGGAAUUGUUUGUGUUACCGAUUUAGUAAGAAAUGAAUUAACGUCCCCAAUAUCAAGAAACAAGGCCGUCUCUCCGGGGGUACAGUGGUUAUCCUAGUCAGAGGUGGCUGAUGACUCCACACCUGCGCCCUCUGCCAUGCCCACAAACUAACUACAAUAGUGCACACAAGAGGACCAGAUGCACAGUGUAGAGGGUCAUCGGCCAGUGGAAGCGACGAUUCCACAUACUUCAUGGGGAAAUAAGGCUUAAGUCCCCUGCAUAUGUGUGCUUUGCUGCACAACAUAUGCAAGGAAAGGAACAUCGGUUUACCUGAGGAAGAGGAUCCUGCAGGUGACUAGGCUGGUGAGGGUGCACAGCCUCUAUCUGUUGUGCAGAUAGCACCUGCUGCUGGACUGAAGCAGCGGGAUGGUCUGCACUACAGGGAUGCACAGCUCAAUCUUCACUUCAAAGAGUGGUCAUCUGGGAGGCUUGUGGGUACUUUCAAGCUACUCGGCAAUGACGAGAUAUUCAGGUGGAAGUGCUGGGAUCGAACUCACUACUACCCAGAUGUCACGCUAGCACAAUGACCUCUUGGCCACCGCCUCACCAUAAAGUAUAAACCCCAUCAUUUUAACAUUCAUAAGAAACUAGUAUUAGAAUACAACAUUAAUUUGCCUAUACUUUUCAGUGCUGGUCCUCACCCUGUCCCUGCCCAACCCUAACCAUCCCCAUGAGGGAAGCUUCCACACAUGUAAGUUGUAAAACCCACCUCUUCAUAACAUUAAUCUGCUGGCUAUUUCUCCAGACUUACUUCAGAGAGAUAGAAAGAGAACUAUGAUCAUGAAUCAUUAACUUUAACCCUAGCUUUAGAAAUUAUGUAAUUGAUAAACUAAUUCCCACAAAUUUUCCCUGCUUAUGU